This 339-nucleotide ribosomal RNA is filed under the name marine sediment bacterium BB0608_AND_5.2_7S0. RNAcentral's name for it is "bacterial SSU rRNA". It matches the Rfam family "Bacterial small subunit ribosomal RNA", at positions 88 to 436 of the family's 1533-position model. The record is from RNAcentral.
AUGACGAGCGGCGGACGGGUGAGUAAUGCUUGGGAACAUGCCUUGAGGUGGGGGACAACAGUUGGAAACGACUGCUAAUACCGCAUAAUGUCUACGGACCAAAGGGGGCUUCGGCUCUCGCCUUUAGAUUGGGCCAAGUGGGAUUAGCUAGUUGGUGAGGUAAUGGCUCACCAAGGCGACAAUCCCUAUCUGGUUUGAGAGGAUGAUCACCCACACUGGGACUGAGACACGGCCCACACUCCUACGGGAGGCAGCAGUGGGGAAUAUUGCACAAUGGGCGCAAGCCUGAUGCACCCAUGCCGCGUGUGUGAAGAAGGCCUUCGGGUUGUAAAGCACUUU